CCUACGGGGGGCAGCAGUGGGGAAUAUUGGACAAUGGGGGCAACCCUGAUCCAGCCAUGCCGCGUGUGUGAAGAAGGCCCUCGGGUUGUAAAGCACUUUCAGUGAGGAAGAACGCCUGGUGGUUAAUACCCAUCAGGAAAGACAUCACUCACAGAAGAAGCACCGGCUAACUCCGUGCCAGCAGCCGCGGUAAUACGGAGGGUGCGAGCGUUAAUCGGAAUUACUGGGCGUAAAGCGCGCGUAGGUGGCUUGAUAAGCCGGAUGUGAAAGCCCCGGGCUCAACCUGGGAACGGCAUCCGGAACUGUCAAGCUAGAGUGCAGGAGAGGAAGGUAGAAUUCCCGGUGUAGCGGUGAAAUGCGUAGAGAUCGGGAGGAAUACCAGUGGCGAAGGCGGCCUUCUGGACUGACACUGACACUGAGGUGCGAAAGCGUGGGUAGCAAACAGGAUUAGAUACCCUGGUAGUC
RNAcentral lists this ribosomal RNA (465 nucleotides) under Vreelandella stevensii. RNAcentral's name for it is "partial 16S ribosomal RNA". It matches the Rfam family "Bacterial small subunit ribosomal RNA", at positions 338 to 795 of the family's 1533-position model. Lineage: Bacteria; Pseudomonadati; Pseudomonadota; Gammaproteobacteria; Oceanospirillales; Halomonadaceae. The record is from RNAcentral.